AACGCGAAGAACCUUACCUGGGCUCGAAAUGUAGUGGAAUACGGUGGAAACAUCGUCGUCUCGCAAGAGACUGCUAUAUAGGUGCUGCAUGGCUGUCGUCAGCUCGUGUCGUGAGAUGUUGGGUUAAGUCCCGCAACGAGCGCAACCCUUAUUACCUGUUGCUAACGCGUAAUGGCGAGGACUCGGGUGAAACUGCCUGGGAUAACCAGGAGGAAGGUGGGGAUGACGUCAAGUCCUCAUGGCCUUUAUGUCCAGGGCUACACACGUGCUACAAUGGUCGGUACAAACCGUCGCAAACCCGCGAGGGGGAGCUAAUCGGAAAAAGCCGGCCUCAGUUCGGAUUGGAGUCUGCAACCCGACUCCAUGAAGCUGGAAUCGCUAGUAAUCGCGGAUCAGAACGCCGCGGUGAAUACGUUCCCGGGCCUUGUA
This 429-nucleotide ribosomal RNA is filed under the name uncultured Acidobacterium sp. RNAcentral's name for it is "bacterial SSU rRNA". It matches the Rfam family "Bacterial small subunit ribosomal RNA", at positions 958 to 1385 of the family's 1533-position model. Lineage: Bacteria; Pseudomonadati; Acidobacteriota; Terriglobia; Terriglobales; Acidobacteriaceae. The record is from RNAcentral.